AGCAGCCGUGGUAAUUCCAGCUCCAAUAGCGUAUAUUAAAGUUGUUGCAGUUAAAAAGCUCGUAGUUGAACUUCGGGGUUUACCCAUUGGUCAGGCUUAAUUGUCUGUACUGGUGAGAUGAAUCUCUACCUUCUGAGGAACUUUCAUGCCAUUUAUUUGGUGUGAUGGGAAAUCAGGACUGUUACUUUGAAAAAAUUAGAGUGUUUAAAGCAGGCUAACGUCUGAAUACAUUAGCAUGGAAUAAUGAAAUAGGACGGACUGAUUCUAUUUCGUUGGUUUCUAGGAUCACCGUAAUGAUUAAUAGGGAUAGUUGGGGGCAUUAGUAUUCAAUUGUCAGAGGUGAAAUUCUUGGAUUUAUUGAAGACUAACUACUGCGAAAGCAUUUGCCAAGGAUGUUUUCAUUAAUCAAGAACGAAAGUUAGGGGAUCGAAGACGAUCAGAUACCGUCGUAGUCUUAACCAUAAACUAUGCCGACUAGGGAUCGGACGAAGUUAAUUUUAUAAUGACGCGUUCGGCACCU
This 520-nucleotide ribosomal RNA is filed under the name uncultured Diversispora. Its description in RNAcentral is "SSU rRNA". It matches the Rfam family "Eukaryotic small subunit ribosomal RNA", at positions 569 to 1088 of the family's 1831-position model. The record is from RNAcentral. Lineage: Eukaryota; Fungi; Glomeromycota; Glomeromycetes; Diversisporales; Diversisporaceae.